Non-coding RNA from Acanthosepion pharaonis, 109 nucleotides. The record is from the annotation of a GenBank genome assembly. Lineage: Eukaryota; Metazoa; Mollusca; Cephalopoda; Sepiida; Sepiidae.
UAUGGCCAUAUCACAUUGAAACAUUGGUUCUUGUAUGAUCACUGAAGUUAAGCAAUAUCAAGCUUGGGCAGUACCUAGAUGAGUGACCACUUGUAAAUACCAGGUGGUG